GAGUUGAUCAUGGCUCAGAACGAACGCUGGGCGGCAGGCCUAACACAUGCAAGUCGAACGCCCCGCAAGGGGAGUGGCAGACGGGUGAGUAACGCGUGGGAACGUACCUUUCGGUUCGGAAUAGACCCGGGAAACUGGGAUUAAUACCCGGAUACGUCCUUAGGGAGAAAAGAUUUAUCGCCGAAAGAUCGGCCCGCGUCUGAUUAGCUAGUUGGCGGUGUAAUGGACCACCAAGGCGACGAUCAGUAGCUGGUCUGAGAGGAUGAUCAGCCACACUGGGACUGAGACACGGCCCAGACUCCUACGGGAGGCACGCAGUGGGGAAUAUUGGACAAUGGGACGCAAGCCUGAUCCAGCCAUGCCGCGUGAGUGAUGAAGGCCUUAGGGUUGUAAA
This 394-nucleotide ribosomal RNA is filed under the name uncultured Alphaproteobacteria bacterium. RNAcentral describes it as "bacterial SSU rRNA". It matches the Rfam family "Bacterial small subunit ribosomal RNA", at positions 9 to 429 of the family's 1533-position model. The record is from RNAcentral. Lineage: Bacteria; Pseudomonadati; Pseudomonadota; Alphaproteobacteria.